CAGCGCGGUAAUACGGAGGGGGCUAGCGUUGUUCGGAAUCACUGGGCGUAAAGCGCACGUAGGCUGCUUUGUAAGUCAGAGGUGAAAGCCCGGGGCUCAACCCCGGAUGUGCCUUUGAGACUGCAGAGCUAGAAUCGCGGAGAGGUGAGUGGAAUUCCGAGUGUAGAGGUGAAAUUCGUAGAUAUUCGGAAGAACACCAGUGGCGAAGGCGGCUCACUGGACGCGUAUUGACGCUGAGGUGCGAAAGCGUGGGGAGCGAACAGGAUUAGAUACCCCCGUAGUCCCUGUCUCUUAUACACAU
RNAcentral lists this ribosomal RNA (301 nucleotides) under uncultured bacterium. RNAcentral's name for it is "partial 16S ribosomal RNA". It matches the Rfam family "Bacterial small subunit ribosomal RNA", at positions 512 to 816 of the family's 1533-position model. The record is from RNAcentral.